AGUCCCUAGAUCCUAGAUUCCAGUCAUUUAUCAUCAGAUAUUUACUAAGAAGGGCGAUCCCCUAUUAUACAAUUAGAAAAGUCAGGCCCCUUCUGCUUUUGGCCAUCUUCCUUGUCAUUGGUGUUCAUCCUUGAAAGCCUUGACCUCCCCUCUACAGUGAGCUCCCACCAUGAUCGAAGUGGAGCUGCCGGUGAGUGUGCUAGCAAUGA
RNAcentral lists this long non-coding RNA (209 nucleotides) under Elaeis guineensis (African oil palm). Its description in RNAcentral is "long non-coding RNA (EGUI_LNC021782)". The record is from RNAcentral. Lineage: Eukaryota; Viridiplantae; Streptophyta; Magnoliopsida; Arecales; Arecaceae.